GGAUGGGUAGUCUAGUCUGGUUAGGAUACCUGUCUCACACACAGGUGGUCGAGAGUUCAAAUCUCUCCUCAUCCACUA
Molecule: transfer RNA, 78 nt
Filed under: Candidatus Nitrosocosmicus franklandianus
Lineage: Archaea; Thermoproteati; Nitrososphaerota; Nitrososphaeria; Nitrososphaerales; Nitrososphaeraceae
Description: Candidatus Nitrosocosmicus franklandus tRNA-Val
Rfam family: tRNA
About the family: Transfer RNA (tRNA) molecules are approximately 80 nucleotides in length. Their secondary structure includes four short double-helical elements and three loops (D, anti-codon, and T loops). Further hydrogen bonds mediate the characteristic L-shaped molecular structure. tRNAs have two regions of fundamental functional importance: the anti-codon, which is responsible for specific mRNA codon recognition, and the 3' end, to which the tRNAs corresponding amino acid is attached (by aminoacyl-tRNA synthetases). tRNAs cope with the degeneracy of the genetic code in two manners: having more than one tRNA (with a specific anti-codon) for a particular amino acid; and 'wobble' base-pairing, i.e. permitting non-standard base-pairing at the 3rd anti-codon position.
Source: RNAcentral